This 30-nucleotide non-coding RNA is filed under the name Rattus norvegicus (Norway rat). The record is from RNAcentral. Lineage: Eukaryota; Metazoa; Chordata; Mammalia; Rodentia; Muridae.
UGAUUGCUGAGUUUAGCCUCACGGGUACGC